Molecule: ribosomal RNA, 253 nt
Filed under: uncultured bacterium
Lineage: Bacteria
Description: partial 16S ribosomal RNA
Rfam family: Bacterial small subunit ribosomal RNA
Source: RNAcentral
UACGUAGGCAGCGCGCGUUGUUCGGAACUACUGGGCGUAAAGAGUGUGUAGGCGGUGCUCCAAGUCUGUCGUGAAAUCUCCCGGCUCAACUGGGAGGGUGCGGCGGAAACUAGAGUGCUCGAGUGUGGGAGAGGUAAGCGGAAUUCCUGGUGUAGAGGUGAAAUGCGUAGAUAUCAGGAGGAACACCUGCGGUGUAGACAGCUUUCUGGACCACUUCUGACGCUGAGACACGAAAGCGUGGGUAGCAAACAGG